AUGGCGACCGGCGCACGGGUGAGUAACACGUAUCCAACCUGCCGAUAACUCGGGGAUAGCCUUUCGAAAGAAAGAUUAAUACCCGAUGGUAUAAUCAGACCGCAUGGUUUGAUUAUUAAAGAAUUUCGGCUAUCGAUGGGGAUGCGUUCCAUUAGGCAGUUGGUGAGGUAACGGCUCACCAAACCUUCGAUGGAUAGGGGUUCUGAGAGGAAGGUCCCCCACAUUGGAACUGAGACACGGUCCAA
This 245-nucleotide ribosomal RNA is filed under the name uncultured bacterium. RNAcentral's name for it is "partial 16S ribosomal RNA". It matches the Rfam family "Bacterial small subunit ribosomal RNA", at positions 88 to 334 of the family's 1533-position model. The record is from RNAcentral.